Molecule: long non-coding RNA, 211 nt
Filed under: Nicotiana benthamiana
Lineage: Eukaryota; Viridiplantae; Streptophyta; Magnoliopsida; Solanales; Solanaceae
Description: long non-coding RNA (NBEN_LNC039938)
Source: RNAcentral
AAAACUCCUCUGCUCUGAAAUGCUCUCAGCCUAACCCUAAUCUCCAAAUGUCGUCACUCAUCUAUGGCCAUCUCCGAUGACCUCUCACCCACCUCUCAGACCUCCAAUGGCCUCUCUCAUGUCACUCUUGCCAUCUCCAUGGACGUCAAGGGACCAAGGCUAGUUGACUUGCAUCUAGGGUUCAUCUCUAGCCUGCUUCAGGCCAUUCCGG